UACAGAGGUCCCAAGCGUUGUUCGGAUUUACUGGGCGUAAAGGGUGCGUAGGCGGUUGGGUAAGUCUAACGUGAAAUCUUCAAGCUUAACUUGGAAACUGCGUCGGAUACUAUCCAGCUAGAGGAAUGGAGGGGAGACUGGAAUACUUGGUGUAGCAGUGAAAUGCGUAGAUAUCAAGUGGAACACCAGUGGCGAAGGCGAGUCUCUGGACAUUUCCUGACGCUGAGGCACGAAAGCCAGGGGAGCAAACGGG
This 253-nucleotide ribosomal RNA is filed under the name uncultured bacterium. RNAcentral describes it as "partial 16S ribosomal RNA". It matches the Rfam family "Bacterial small subunit ribosomal RNA", at positions 524 to 776 of the family's 1533-position model. The record is from RNAcentral.